Molecule: ribosomal RNA, 979 nt
Filed under: Legionella pneumophila
Lineage: Bacteria; Pseudomonadati; Pseudomonadota; Gammaproteobacteria; Legionellales; Legionellaceae
Description: partial 23S ribosomal RNA
Rfam family: Bacterial large subunit ribosomal RNA
Source: RNAcentral
GGUCAAGAAGAGAAGCGCAAACGGUGGAUGCCUUGGCAGUAAGAGGCGAAGAAGGACGUGGAAUCCUGCGAAAAGCUAUGGGGAGCUGGAAACGAGCGUUGAGCCAUAGAUGUCCGAAUGGGGGAACCCGGCUGCAGCGAUGCGGUCAUUUGCAUUUGAAUACAUAGGAUGCAAAGGCGAACUCGGGGAACUGAAACAUCUAAGUACCCGAAGGAAAAGAAAUCAAGAGAGAUUCUCCAAGUAGCGGCGAGCGAACGGGGAGGAGCCUGGCGUGAUUUAUUAUUGAACUGAGUAGAACAAUUUGGGAAAGUUGGCCGAAGAGGGUGAAAGCCCCGUAUACGAAGGUUUGAUGAGGAACUAGGCACGCGAACAAGUAGGCCGGGACACGUGAAAUCCUGGUUGAAGAUGGGUGGACCAUCAUCCAAGGCUAAAUACUACUUACUGACCGAUAGUGAACCAGUACCGUGAGGGAAAGGUGAAAAGAACCCCGGAGAGGGGAGUGAAAUAGAAUCUGAAACCGUUUGCGUACAAGCAGUGGGAGCAUGGUUUAGGCUGUGUGACUGCGUACCUUUUGUAUAAUGGGUCAGCGAGUUACUUUCAGUGGCGAGGUUAACUGAAUAAGGGAGCCGUAGAGAAAUCGAGUCUGAAUAGGGCGAUAGUCGCUGGGAGUAGACCCGAAACCGGGCGAUCUAGCCAUGUGCAGGAUGAAGGUUGGGUAACACCAACUGGAGGUCCGAACCGGGUAAUGUUGAAAAAUUAUCGGAUGACGUGUGGCUAGGAGUGAAAGGCUAAUCAAGCCCGGAGAUAGCUGGUUCUCCCCGAAAGCUAUUUAGGUAGCGCCUCGUGAAUGAUUACUGGGGGUAGAGCACUGUUUCGGCUAGGGGGCUGUCAUGGCUUACCAAACCGAUGCAAACUCCGAAUACCGGCUAAUUGAAUCACGGGAGACACACGGCGGGUGCUAACGUCCGUCGUGGAGAGG